AUUGGACAAUGGGCGCAAGCCUGAUCCAGCCAUACCGCGUGGGUGAAGAAGGCUUCGGGUUGUAAAGCCCUUUUGUUGGGAAAGAAAUCCAGCCGGCUAAUACCUGGUUGGGAUGACGGUACCCAAAGAAUAAGCACCGGCUAACUUCGUGCCAGCAGCCGCGGUAAUACGAAGGGUGCAAGCGUUACUCGGAAUUACUGGGCGUAAAGCGUGCGUAGGUGGUCGUUUAAGUCCGUUGUGAAAGCCCUGGGCUCAACCUGGGAACUGCAGUGGAUACUGGGCGACUAGAGUGUGGUAGAGGGUAGCGGAAUUCCUGGUGUAGCAGUGAAAUGCGUAGAGAUCAGGAGGAACAUCCAUGGCGAAGGCAGCUACCUGGACCAAYACUGAYACUGAGGCACGAAAGCGUGGGGAGCAAACAGGAUUAGAUACCCUGGUAGUCCACGCCCUAAACGAUGCGAACUGGAUGUUGGGUGCAAUUUGGCACGCAGUAUCGAAGUAACGCGUUAAGUUCGCCG
RNAcentral lists this ribosomal RNA (515 nucleotides) under uncultured Gammaproteobacteria bacterium. RNAcentral describes it as "bacterial SSU rRNA". It matches the Rfam family "Bacterial small subunit ribosomal RNA", at positions 363 to 871 of the family's 1533-position model. Lineage: Bacteria; Pseudomonadati; Pseudomonadota; Gammaproteobacteria. The record is from RNAcentral.